This 584-nucleotide ribosomal RNA is filed under the name uncultured bacterium. RNAcentral's name for it is "partial 16S ribosomal RNA". It matches the Rfam family "Bacterial small subunit ribosomal RNA", at positions 355 to 1375 of the family's 1533-position model. The record is from RNAcentral.
UGGGGAAUUUUGGACAAUGGGCGAAAGCCUGAUCCAGCAAUGCCGCGUGUGUGAAGAAGGCCUUCGGGUUGCAAAGCACUUUUGUCCGGAAAGAAAUCCUUGGCUCUAAUACAGUCGGGGGAUGACGGUACCGGAAGAAUAAGCACCGGCUAACUACGUGCCAGCAGCCGCGGUAAUACGUAGGGUGCAAGCGUUAAUCGGAUACUGGGCGUAAAGCGUGCGCAGGCGGUUUGCUAAGACCGAUGUGAAAUCCCCGGGCUCAACCUGGGAACUGCAUUGGUGACUGGCAGGCUAGAGUAUGGCAGAGGGGGGUAGAAUUCCACGUGUAGCAGUGAAAUGCGUAGAGAUGUGGAGGAAUACCGAUGGCGAAGGCAGCCCCCUGGGCCAAUACUGACGCUCAUGCACGAAAGCGUGGGGAGCAAAACAGGAUUAGAUACCCUGGUAGUCCACGCCCUAAACGAUGUCAACUAGUUGUUGGGGAUUCAUUUCCUUAGUAACGUAGCUAACGCGUGAAGUUGACCGCCUGGGGAGUACGGUCGCAAGAUUAAAACUCAAAGGAAUUGACGGGGUCAUAGCUGUUUCCU